Acanthochromis polyacanthus (spiny chromis) is the source of this 2510-nucleotide RNA transcript. RefSeq lists it as uncharacterized. Lineage: Eukaryota; Metazoa; Chordata; Actinopteri; Pomacentridae. The record is from RefSeq and is a predicted model, not a curated record. The transcript has 10 exons.
CAUUCCAAAUGGAACGGCCAGAAAGAGUCCGACAACUGUAGUCUGCAGUGGGUCAGUUGCAGCAGGCUACCUGUGCACAAUUCUGCCGUUUGCAAGACUGUUGGAAAUCCUAUAAACUGACUACGCCACGGAUGAAACUCGAAAUGCUUUUUCAGGCAUGGAUCCUACAACAGUUGCAGUAUUGAAAGCUGCUAAUAUUAGCACAGAAUUGCUUCCCAGUCUGUCUAAGGUGGACUUGCGUGACCUCUUUCCGGGGCCUGAGCACUUUUUCCGAAGGAAAGCCAUUUGGAGGACCACUCAUGGUGAAAAUGAGUGUGAAGAACUGGAGCAGCCUCACCCAGGCACCUCCUCUGGAACUUAUGAUGGUGCCACAAUUCCAACUACCCCAAACGCUUUGUCCACUCCUUCUUCCUUCCCUGCACCUGUCCCCUCUUCAAAGCCAGGAGACAGUGCCAGCAGAACUGUACAGCUUCAAAGUCCACAAUAUGUUGUAUACACAGACACAGAGCUGGAGCUGUCAAGAACCACCUUUUUUGAAAAACAGCGUGCUGGACAAGAAGAAGACUUCACACUCUCCAAAGAGCUUCGCUGUCGCAUAAUAAGGAACACAGUAACAAGCAUGAUCGCCAUAAAGAGAGCUGCAGGCGAUGACUUCCGAUAUCCAAGUAGCCGUGAGCUAACUGCGAUGGCUCAGCGUCUGAUUGUAUACUACCCAAUGCUGCGGGACAGGUCUGCAGCCAGUGGAGCUGAGUGGGAAUCUGUGAAGAAGCAGCUUUUGAGAAGGGUCCAAAAUGUGACAACCCCCAAAAAGAAGCAGGGAGCAACUCCUUCAAGAAAGAGGCGACUGGCCAUCAGCUUUGAGAGCAGCAGCCAUGGGUCACCCACUGAUGACAGCGGGUCCAAUGCUUCAACUUUGAGCUUGGAAACAUCACCGCAGUCUGGAGGCACUUCCCCGGAGGCUGAACAGGUGGAUGGGCCUGAAACUACUGACAGCCCACAGAACCAGGCCAGACACUACAAAGUUCUGCAGGAGCUAUACAAAUCCAAGCCCAGGCCCAACAAGAAGGAUGUUGCCCAGCUGUUGGACCUGGAAUACCAAGCAAGACGGGCUUACAUCGACUCUGAUGUUCUGAAGGAGCACGACAGACCUACCAAGAUUCUUCAAGCAUAUCCCUGCUUCAGAGAAGUGGAUCAUAUAAUGGAUGAACUGCAGCGGAUCCUCAAUCAAGGAAACCCCCACUUCAUACCUGAACUGAAGAACCGCUGGAAGACCUUUUGUGAGAAGAUCCAGUUUUAUGGCGUUUUCAAAAAAGUCAUGAGACCUCCACUGGCUGAUAAAGUAAAGCGAGGGGUUGCGAUGAUGAAAGCUUUGCCAGACGUCUUCCCAUCACCCAUUGCUCCACCCAAGAAGUUGGGGCAUGCAAGUGAGGCCAUUCUUCACAUCUUGAGUCUGUGGAAGACCCCAACGCUUUCCUGAACGCAAGACCGCUCUCCAGCCCUGUAGUGAUCGUCUGUGAGAGCAACUGCAUUCUGGCCAUCGGAACCAUGCCUGUGCUGAUCUUCCCAAAGGAGGACAUCUCAGUGUGAUGUACAUCAUGGCAUGCUGCUACACCUUUCACCUCACAUACCCCAAGUGCAUAACCACACUCCUCUCUGUGCUGCAGACAGAGGUCCUCAUGGAUGCCAUCCAUGACCAAGACAUGACUUCUUCAUAUAAAAAAGCUAUGGCUGAGUGGAGGAAGUUCAGAGGACUUUUUGCAGUGUAGGAGAAGUAAAGAAGGGGAAGUUCAUACGUCAGGUGGCAGAUGAAGAUGGACAGAAUGACUUUUCAGCCCAUCAGGUCAUCCAUGAACAAAUGGAGACAGAUCUUACAUUAUAUGAGAUGGAACAUUUUAAAUUUUACUUCAACAUAAUUGAUGGCACAAUUUACCCCCAGCAUGUUUUCUGCAAAGGCUCAACUAAGUCCAAGUUUGUUCCCUUUGGAAAGCCAUAUUCCUCAUAUACAAUGACUACACCAGUGUUUCAGCAUUUUACAUGAACCCAAAUUUAUCCACUGUGUGCUUUCUUUACAGUAAAUAUGACAGCUAAAAGUUUAAAAAAUAACAACAUUACAUAUAUGCUGCUUUGUUUACAUUUGAACGAGGUAGUGCUGCAUUUAAAUCAGGGUGCAGACAGUUCUGCACAGUGUCUUCCAGAUUUCAACAAGACAACAGGACGACUUGAAACGAGCAGGACAUCGAGAUUAAUCUCAACUUUAACCUUUCAAGAAAACCCAAAGAAGCCAACAUUUUUGAGUCUUUUUUGACAAGAUAAAAAUGAACAAUCAAAGUUCAUCCUCAUCCUCAUCUUCCUCUGAGGAGAGUACUACAAGGCAUCCUUUCGAAGUCCCAGAAGACUACAAGUUGAUGCAAAACCUGGAACAUGGAAGCUGUGGAUUUGUGCCGGAACGUAUGACAAACAACACUGAAGAGCACGAGGCCAUAAAGGUGUCCGAACGGAACUGUCAAGAC